ACGAACGCUGGCGGCGUGCUUAACACAUGCAAGUCGAACGGAAAGGCCCUGCUUUUGUGGGGUGCUCGGGUGGCGAACGGGUGAGUAACACGUGAGUAACCUGCCCUUGACUUUGGGAUAACUUCAGGAAACUGGGGCUAAUACCGGAUAGGAGCUCCUGCUGCAUGGUGGGGGUUGGAAAGUUUCGGCGGUUGGGGAUGGACUCGCGGCUUAUCAGCUUGUUGGUGGGGUAGUGGCUUACCAAGGCUUUGACGGGUAGCCGGCCUGAGAGGGUGACCGGCCACAUUGGGACUGAGAUACGGCCCAGACUCCUACGGGGGGCAGCAGUGGGGAAUAUUGCACAAUGGGCGGAAGCCUGAUGCAGCAACGCCGCGUGCGGGAUGACGGCCUUCGGGUUGUAAACCGCUUUCGCCUGUGACGAAGCGUGAGUGACGGUAAUGGGUAAAGAAGCACCGGCUAACUACGUG
Molecule: ribosomal RNA, 467 nt
Filed under: uncultured bacterium
Lineage: Bacteria
Description: partial 16S ribosomal RNA
Rfam family: Bacterial small subunit ribosomal RNA
Source: RNAcentral